AACCCUCCAAAUUUUUGUCCAAUCACGUCCCUUUGACGUGCAUGUGCACCAAACGUACCUGUUUCCCCCUCAAUAUAAAUGCCAUGAAGAGAGCAACAAUGCGCUUUGCUAUUACUAUAGCUAAUACCAAGGUUUUUGGUUUUAAGUCAUGGAGAAGAGCAAGUCAUUCCCGGAAUACUCUUCAUCAUUUUCCGGCGAAUUCGACUUUGAAAACCGAUCAAAUUCGUAUAACUUCAACGGGCCAUGCAGCAAAAGCAACGGAUUCGCAGCAUCAAAUGAUCCGGAGCUUAAGAGGAAGAAGAGAAUCGCCUCGUACAACGUGUUUACGAUGGAAGGUAAGGUAAAGUCAAGUGUUAGGAGCAGCUUCAAGUGGAUCAAGAGCAAGUUUAGCGAUGUUCGUUAUGGUAUGUAAGUUGUAAAAAGUAAAAAGAUGUUCACUUCUUCUUUCUUUAACAAGUUUAGCUCCCAUUGUAUACAGUUAGUUUGUGUCAUGGUCUUUUUUCUGUUUGGAAAUUAGAGGGAAGAAUUUUCUCUCUUGCAAAAAGAAGAAACAGAAACCCAAUGAAAUUGGGUUAUGUGGAGUCUACUCUUGCAUGCCAACUAAUAUACAAGUUUGGUCGUUUGGGCUGUAAUAUGUUUUGGUGAAAAAUGCAUAAGUUUAAUUUUCAUUCUCUAUCCUUAAUCUUCCAUUAGAUUGUUUUCUUGUGAUGUUCUCUAGGCCAGAUAGGAUGGACUUUGGAUGCUAAAGGAAAAGGGGACAGAAGAAAGAAGUAGAAACUUUCUAUUUCUCUAACACUUUGAACUAACAUGAUUCCAAUCAAGUAUACUUUUGCUCUGAUCAUCAGUAUUUUCAAGGGCCAAAAUAAGAGAUAUAUAUAUAUAUAAUAGCUACCUAGGCAAAGGAUUGGCCAGGAACAGCACUUGCCAAAUAACUUAAAAAUCUAACAUAUGACUCUUCAUUUUUUAUCAUUUGGUUAGAUGUUUGAGGGGGCUAAUGGAGCCUCAUCAUGAAUUCCACCUUUGUAUUUGUAAGAAGUUAAUCAUAUAGGUAUAGAAAUUAUGUGCAAUCCAAGUAUACAUGCAAAGGCAUUUGUUUCACAUGAAAUCAUUUCUUUCUACCCCAUAUUUCCCUUCUUUAGCCAAAUGUUGAUUGAAAAAUUAGCAAUAAAAUUUUCCACUUGUAUAACCAACCAGAAGAAACAACAACUUUAGAUUUAUUGACAAUGGAUUCCCAAUCAAAUGCUCAUCCAAGGUUUCAAACCAUAUAUUUUAUGUGACUAAGAUAUAAUUUGAUUUGUAGUCACACGUUAUAUAUUGUCAAAUUCAAAGCUCUCCGACCCUAACUAACUAUAUAUCCCAUAGUUCAUUUAAAAUACUACACUUAUUUAUGUGGAGCAGCCCCAGUUAGCUCACAUAAUAAACAAGUGUGUUGAUGUAGGACUGUGGUGCUGGUGGCUACAGUUACUCCCUUGGGCAAUUGUGUGGCCCAAGCUAAAGAGGGCCACAAAGGCUCUAAAGCCGAAGGGGGGUGCAAUAAUAUUAUUGAAGUAGACAUGCAAUAAAAGAAAGAAAGCAAACAUGAAGAAAACAGGGUUGGGUGUUUGUGAUAUAGAUGGCAACUGGCAAGGUGAGGAGCCAUGUAUGAUGUAUUUGAAGCUAAUGAUUGAAAGUGACAACCAACCCUCGAUCACUCACCACGCUUAUUCGUACACGGAUGCUAAUAUUUCCAUUAAUUAUUAAGUUUGCAGCUCGUGUUUGGGAGCUGGGUAGCGGAGGCCGGUUUCGAAUGCUCCUACUAGCACUAGAAUGAACAUGGGUGUGUGGGGAUAUCUUCUGGCCAGAAGAAGCAACUGGAGAGAGAAAAAGGGAAGGGCUCUCCACCUGGGUGGGCUUUGAACCUGAUGAGGUGCUGGUGGUACUGCUGCUAGGUUCUUGGACUUGCACAUUUGGCUCAGCAGUUUUCUCAGUGUCCUGAAACGCCAUAAGUUGAUAUACUAUUAAAGAGCAUUAAAUUAAUAUAGUACUCAACAAGAUUGUUGGACAAGAACUAGUACCAACAUUAAAACUAGGAAGUUAAGUGUAUGCUAUUUAAUGUGCUUGUUUUCUUGUUUAAUUGAAAUGGUUGGUUAUAUCUGAAAUUUCCUUGA
Theobroma cacao (cacao) is the source of this 2147-nucleotide non-coding RNA. The record is from RefSeq and is a predicted model, not a curated record. NCBI's taxonomy places the organism in Eukaryota, Viridiplantae, Streptophyta, Magnoliopsida, Malvales, Malvaceae.